Molecule: small nuclear RNA, 131 nt
Filed under: Fukomys damarensis (Damara mole-rat)
Lineage: Eukaryota; Metazoa; Chordata; Mammalia; Rodentia; Bathyergidae
Description: 7SK RNA
Rfam family: 7SK RNA
About the family: 7SK was discovered as an abundant small nuclear RNA in the mid-70s but a possible function has only recently been suggested.
Source: Rfam by way of RNAcentral
UCGAUGGGCAGCGUUGAUUGGCCUGAUCUGGCUGGCUAGGUAGGUGACCCCUUCCUCCCUCACCGCUCCAUGUGUACCCUCCUGAAGCUGCACACUGAAUUGAAGAGGAUGGCCAUCCCCAGUAGGGGAGG